UCCUUUGGAAAGUCUCACACUUAGGGCAAAAAUGGCACUAUUAAUUUACCUAAUGAAGGAUUGUACUUAUCUUGAAUGAUAUUCCACAUGACCUACAUUCAUUUUAUGAAUUUCAUUUCCGGAAAACCACCAACUACUAAUUACUAAAACGAUUAAGCAGCAGAAACAAGCCAAGAUGCUGGCUUAUAAUCGCCAUAAGAAUAACACAAGUAAAAAGCAUGGGGAUCGGGCGAAAUGAAAAUAGAGAACCACAAAAUGAUAUAAUGUCCCAUUGGAUAAGCCCCCACAUUCGCACAAAAAGGGACAGACAGCGAGAAGCUUUAAAACAAUUAAUUAUAAAUUUAUGGGACCAUGUGAAGAGGGGGAGCCAAGAAGAAGGAACAAAAGCAGACAUUUAAAUAACUCGGUAAACAAAAGCCAACUGAAAAGGACGAAGGACAAAAAGGAGUGAAAAUGGAUUUCCAUUUAAGGCGGCAUGUUGAGCACAUUGUUUUUAUUAAGUGUCGCAUGAUAUGUGCGAUAAAUAUAUGUACACAUAUAUGUAUAUGUGUAUCCAAUGGUUCAUGCUAUCCACCUUAGAUGUGUAUUGGUGCUCGAAAAGUGCAAACAGCAAUGGCAACUCACUUUAGACCCACUGUGCCAAAGGGGACAUAAUAAAACAGCUGCCGACCCUGCACAAAGAUGAUGACUGCGACUCCUGAUGAUGAUGACCCCUUGACCCCCGCCCCGCCCCGCACUCUAUAUAAUGC
Drosophila teissieri is the source of this 749-nucleotide long non-coding RNA. RefSeq lists it as uncharacterized. Lineage: Eukaryota; Metazoa; Arthropoda; Insecta; Diptera; Drosophilidae. The transcript is spliced from 3 exons. The record is from RefSeq and is a predicted model, not a curated record.